GGCUUAAUACAUGCAAGUCGUGGGGCAGCGCAGUGUAGCAAUACAUGGGCGGCGACCGGCAAACGGGUGCGGAACACGUACGCAACCUUCCUUUGAGUGGGGGAUAGCCCAGGGAAACUUGGAUUAAUACCCCGUAAUACUAUGAAGUGGCAUCACUUUAUAAUUAUAGCUCCGGCGCUUAAAGAUGGGCGUGCGCCUGAUUAGGUAGUUGGCGGGGUAACGGCCCACCAAGCCUUCGAUCAGUAACUGGUGUGAGAGCACGACCAGUCACACGGGCACUGAGACACGGGCCCGACUCCUACGGGAGGCAGCAGUAAGGAAUAUUGGUCAAUGGACGCAAGUCUAAACCAGCCAUGCCGCGUGGAGGAUGAAGGUCCUCUGGAUUGUAAACUUC
Molecule: ribosomal RNA, 394 nt
Filed under: uncultured organism
Description: bacterial SSU rRNA
Rfam family: Bacterial small subunit ribosomal RNA
Source: RNAcentral